UCAUAUUUGUUGGCUUUGAUUUUGGUUAUUCCAGAUCUUGUCUGUUUAUUUUGUUGUGAAGAUGUCUUGCUGCGGUGGAAAGUGUGGGUGUGGAGGCAACUGCAAUGGCUGUGCAGGGUGCAAGGCCUUCCCAGAGAAGGCUGUAGAGGGCUCAACUGCUUCUGAUAUGCUGUAUAACGAGGAAAUGAGUGUGGCAGGGGAGAAUGGGUGCAAAUGUGCAGGUGGGUGCAAGUGUGGAGGAACCUGCACUGGAAAUCCUUGCAAUUGCAAAUGAUUUACCAAUUAAUAUAUUAACAUUAUUAUCAUUUUCUUUUUAAGUGUGUAGUAUCAGCCUUGGUAUGUUAUACCAAGGUUUGAAUAUUAUAAUGUAAGAGAAAGUCAGUCAUGAUGCCACUACAUGACUGUGCAUUCUAGUUUUAUUAAUAUAUAACUAAAGUUUAAUCCA
Molecule: long non-coding RNA, 445 nt
Organism: Cryptomeria japonica (Japanese cedar)
Lineage: Eukaryota; Viridiplantae; Streptophyta; Pinopsida; Cupressales; Cupressaceae
Exons: 3
Source: RefSeq, a predicted model, not a curated record